Acanthosepion pharaonis is the source of this 91-nucleotide non-coding RNA. NCBI's taxonomy places the organism in Eukaryota, Metazoa, Mollusca, Cephalopoda, Sepiida, Sepiidae. The record is from the annotation of a GenBank genome assembly.
AAUCACGAGUUCCGUUACGAUCACCGAAGUUAAGCAACGUUGAACCAGUUCAGUACCAAGAUGGGUGACCGCUUGGGAAUGCCAGGUGCUA